RNAcentral lists this ribosomal RNA (482 nucleotides) under uncultured bacterium. RNAcentral's name for it is "partial 16S ribosomal RNA". It matches the Rfam family "Bacterial small subunit ribosomal RNA", at positions 28 to 523 of the family's 1533-position model. The record is from RNAcentral.
GACGAACGCUGGCGGCGUGCUUAACACAUGCAAGUCGAACGAUGAAGAAGAGCUUGCUCUUCGGGUUAGUGGCGAACGGGUGAGUAACACGUGACUAACCUGCCCCUUUCUCUGGGAUAACGCUCCGAAAGGAGUGCUAAUACCGGAUACUCACAUCGAGGCACAUGCCUUGAUGUGGAAAGUUUUUCGGAAAGGGAUGGAGUCGCGGCCUAUCAGCUUGUUGGUGAGGUAACGGCUCACCAAGGCGACGACGGGUAGCCGGCCUGAGAGGGCGACCGGCCACACUGGGACUGAGGCACGGCCCAGACUCCUACGGGAGGCAGCAGUGGGGAAUAUUGCACAAUGGGCGAAAGCCUGAUGCAGCGACGCCGCGUGAGGGAUGAAGGUCUUCGGAUUGUAAACCUCUUUCAGUAGGGACGAAGCGAAAGUGACGGUACCUAAAGAAGAAGCACCGGCUAACUACGUGCCAGCCGCCGCAGUAA